GACAAUAUGGUGCAGUGGUUUGAACAUUGGACUAUGACUCUGGAGACCAGAGUUCAAGUCCCUGCUUGACC
This is a non-coding RNA of Phrynosoma platyrhinos (Desert horned lizard), 71 nucleotides long. The record is from the annotation of a GenBank genome assembly. NCBI's taxonomy places the organism in Eukaryota, Metazoa, Chordata, Lepidosauria, Squamata, Phrynosomatidae.